This 406-nucleotide ribosomal RNA is filed under the name uncultured bacterium. RNAcentral's name for it is "partial 16S ribosomal RNA". It matches the Rfam family "Bacterial small subunit ribosomal RNA", at positions 30 to 526 of the family's 1533-position model. The record is from RNAcentral.
AUUGAACGCUGGCGGCAGGCUUAACACAUGCAAGUCGAACGAGGGGCGGACGGGGGAGUAAUGCUUGGGAAUCUAGCUUAUGGAGGGGGAUAACUACGGGAAACUGUAGCUAAUACCGCGUACCAUAGGAUGAGCCCAAGUGGGAUUAGGUAGUUGGUGAGGUAAAGGCUCACCAAGCCGACGAUCUCUAGCUGGUCUGAGAGGAUGACCGGCCACACUGGGACUGAGACACGGCCCAGACUCCUACGGGAGGCAGCAGUGGGGAAUCUUGCACAAUGGGCGCAAGCCUGAUGCAGCCACGCCGCGUGUAUGAAGAAGGUCUUAGGGUUGUAAAGCACUGUCAUCGGGGAGGCGUUACUCGCAGAAGAAGCCCCGGCUAACUCCGUGCCAGCAGCCGCGGUAAUUC